CGCAAGCGCCGGAAGUGACGCCACGGUCUCCAGGAAGAUGGGGGCUUUCCUGCUCUGCGGGGUCUCAGAGCCGACCCACAGCUCUCUUACCUCGGGGUUCCUGUGAGCGAAGAUGAAAGAACUUGAAGAAACGGUAUUCGUUCGUCCUUACCAAUCCGUAACAUUCGUGAGCUGACCUUGAGCUGGGGACACCUCGGUGGCUGAGACAGCCCCAGUCUCCAUGCUACGGAGCUCACAGUUCAGUGAGGGACGUAGACGCAUCACCAGGUAGGGAUGGAUAGGACAUAAGCA
Molecule: long non-coding RNA, 291 nt
Organism: Bubalus bubalis (water buffalo)
Lineage: Eukaryota; Metazoa; Chordata; Mammalia; Artiodactyla; Bovidae
Exons: 2
Source: RefSeq, a predicted model, not a curated record